AACGAACGCUGGCGGCAGGCCUAACACAUGCAAGUCGAACGCUGUAGCAAUACAGAGUGGCAGACGGGUGAGUAACGCGUGGGAACCUUCCCUGUGGUACGGAAUAGCUCAGGGAAACUUGAGGUAAUACCGUAUAAGCCCCUAGGGGGAAAGAUUUAUCGCCAUUGGAUGGGCCCGCGUCGGAUUAGCUAGUUGGUGAGGUAAUGGCUCACCAAGGCGACGAUCCGUAGCUGGUUUGAGAGAAUGACCAGCCACACUGGGACUGAGACACGGCCCAGACUCCUACGGGAGGCAGCAGUGGGGAAUAUUGGACAAUGGGCGCAAGCCUGAUCCAGCCAUGCCGCGUGAGUGACGAAGGCCUUAGGGUUGUAAAGCUCUUUUAGCAGGGACGAUAAUGACGGUACCUGCAGAAUAAGCUCCGGCUAACUUCGUGCCAGCAGCCGCAGUAA
Molecule: ribosomal RNA, 449 nt
Filed under: uncultured bacterium
Lineage: Bacteria
Description: partial 16S ribosomal RNA
Rfam family: Bacterial small subunit ribosomal RNA
Source: RNAcentral